GCCCCGGCUAACUACGUGCCAGCAGCCGCGGUAAUACGUAGGGGGCGAGCGUUGUCCGGAAUGAUUGGGCGUAAAGGGUACGUAGGCGGUCAGAAGGGUCUGUUGUAAAAGCCCGGGGCUCAACUCCGGGAGGCGAUGGAAACUAUCGGACUUGAGUGGUAGAAGGGACAGUGGAAUUCCUGGUGUAGUGGUGAAAUGCGCAGAGAUCAGGAAGAAUACCGGUGGCGAAAGCGACUGUCUGGAUACCAACUGACGCUGAGGUACGAAAGCGUGGGUAGCAAACAGGAUUAGAUACCCUGGUAGUCCACGCCGUAAACGAUGAGUGCUAGACGUCGGGUGUCAAAGCCCGGUGUCGCCGGUAACCCAGUAAGCACUCCGCCUGGGGAGUACGUACGCA
RNAcentral lists this ribosomal RNA (397 nucleotides) under uncultured bacterium. RNAcentral's name for it is "bacterial SSU rRNA". It matches the Rfam family "Bacterial small subunit ribosomal RNA", at positions 490 to 890 of the family's 1533-position model. The record is from RNAcentral.